CUCUCUCUCCAAACGCAACAACAUCGGUCUGCCUGCUUUGCUGCCCUUCUCUUGAACGACGGUACUUGUUCUCUCUUUCUCAAUUUAUUGGGGGUUUUUUUUUUUUUUUUUGGUGUUUUUCACUUUUGAAUUCAUUUGCACACACUUAUCAAAACCCUAGAGAAACUCUCAUAAACCCUAGAAAAGCUCUCGGAAACCCUAGAGGACACCGAUCAGAAAAUGGAAUGGAACGCUGAAACCCUACAAUUCCUCUCCCAAUGCUUCCUCCAUACGCUUUCUCCAAAUCCCGAGCCUCGCCGCCGCGCCGAAUCAUCUCUCUCCGAAGCUGCUGACCGGCCCAACUACGGCCUCGCUGUCCUCCGCCUUGUCGCUGAGCCCUCCGUCGAUGGGCAGAUCCGCCAGAGCGCCGCCGUCAACUUCAAGAACCACCUCCGUGUUAGGUGGUCGACAGAGGUGUCAAGGGAGCCGAAUGCUGUGACCCUAAUCUCAAUUCCUGAGUCCGAAAAGGAGCAAAUCAAAACCCUAAUUGUCCCUCUCAUGCUCUCCGCCACUCCCCGAAUUCAGAGUCAGCUCAGUGAAGCCCUUUCGCUGAUCGGGAAACAUGAUUUCCCGAAAAAAUGGCCUUCAUUAUUGCCUGAGCUCGUGUCAAGUCUUCGAACUGCAUCACAAUCAUCUGAUUACGCCACCAUCAAUGGAAUUCUCGGUACCGCAAAUUCGAUAUUCAAGAAGUUUAGGUACCAAUACAAGACCAAUGAUCUUCUUCUUGAUUUGAAGUAUUGCCUCGACAAUUUUGCAGCGCCUUUAUUAGAAAUCUUUCUCAAAACUGCCGCAUUAAUUGAUUCCGUGGUUAACUCCGGAGGUCCUGCUGUGGCAGCCACCCUCCGGCCUCUGAUUGAAUCCCAGAGGCUAUGUUGUAGAAUAUUUUAUUCUUUAAAUUUUCAAGAAUUACCCGAGUUUUUUGAGGAUCACAUGAAAGAGUGGAUGGGUGAGUUUAAAAAAUACCUCACUAUGAGGUAUCCAGCUCUUGAAGAGGGCAGUGGGGAUGGGCUUGCAGUUGUUGAUGAGCUUCGAGCUGCAGUAUGUGAGAAUAUUAGUCUUUAUAUUGAGAAAAAUGAGGAGGAGUUUCAGGAGUACUUGAAUGAUUUUGCACUUGCUGUGUGGAGCUUACUCACGACUGUUUCAGCAUCUUCUAGCCGUGACCGGCUUACCAUUACUGCAAUUAAGUUUUUGACUACUGUUAGUACAAGUGUGCACCACACAUUGUUUGCAGCUGAUAAUGUGAUAUCUCAGAUUUGUCAGGGCAUUGUGAUUCCAAAUGUGCGGUUAAGGGAUGAAGAUGAGGAGCUUUUUGAGAUGAACUAUGUUGAGUUUGUUAGGAGGGAUAUGGAAGGGAGCGAUCUUGAUACAAGGAGGAGGAUUGCUUGUGAACUUCUCAAAGGGAUUGCUACGAAUUAUAAGGAAAGGGUGACUGCUAUUGUUUCAGUACAGAUCCAAAAUAUGUUAGGCUCCUUUGCUACGAACCCAGCUGUGAAUUGGAAGGAUAAGGACUGUGCCAUAUACUUGGUUGUCUCACUUGCCACUAAGAAGGCUGGGGGUAAUUCUGUCUCAACUGACCUAGUCAAUGUUGAGAGUUUCUUUGGAUCAGUUAUUGUUCCAGAGUUGAAGAGUCAGGAUGUGAAUGGGUUCCCGAUGCUCAAGGCAGGUGCACUUAAGUUCUUUACAAUGUUUCGAAAUCAGAUAUCAAAGCCCAUUGCAAUUGCAUUGGUUCCAGAUGUGGUUCGAUUCCUUGGUUCAGAGUCAAAUGUCGUCCAUUCAUAUGCUGCAAAUUGCAUUGAGAAACUCUUGCUGGUCAAGGAAGAGGGAGGAAUGGCAAGAUACACUUCCUCGGAUAUUAGUCCAUUUUUGCCAGUUCUGAUUGGCAAUCUUUUUAAUGCUUUGAAGUUUCCAGAUUCUGAGGAGAAUCAAUACAUCAUGAAGUGUAUCAUGCGGGUUCUUGGAGUUGCUGACAUCACUCGUGAGGUUGCUGGUCCUUGCAUCUUGGAGUUGACUAAUGUUCUUGCUGAAGUUUGCAAAAACCCAAAAAAUCCAGUCUUUAAUCACUAUCUGUUUGAAGCCGUUGCAGUUCUUGUUAGGCGGGCCUGUGAAAAGGACGCAUCUCUCAUAUCUGCCUUUGAAGGAAGCCUCUUUCCCAGCCUCCAAACCAUCCUGGUUAACGAUGUAACAGAGUUUUUCCCUUAUGCGUUCCAACUAUUAGCUCAGCUUGUUGAGUUGAAUAGACCACCCAUCCCACCCAGCUACAUGCAAAUAUUUGAACUCCUCUUGUCACCUGAUUCAUGGCGAAAAACUGCAAAUGUUCCUGCCCUAGUGCGUCUGCUUCAGGCCUUCCUUCAGAAGGCGCCCCAUGAGCUUAACAGAGAGGGGAGGCUUAGCCAGGUACUUGGAAUAUUUGAAAGGCUUAUCUCAUCUCAUACAACAGAUGAACAGGGCUUCUAUGUGCUCAACACUGUGAUUGAGAAUCUCGGAUAUGAAGUUAUUGCGCCCUAUGUGAGUCACAUCUGGGCUACCCUAUUUGGACGGCUUCAAAAGAACAGGACAGUAAAGUUUGUGAAGUCUUUCCUGAUAUUUAUGUCUUUGUUUCUGGUCAAGCAUGGCUCCACAAACCUUGUGGAUUCGAUCAAUGCUGUUCAGCCCAAUAUAUUUCUUGUGAUUUUGGAGCAGUUCUGGAUACCAAAUCUUAAGCUGAUUACAGGAGCUAUUGAGCUGAAGUUAACUUCAGUUGCUUCAACCCGGCUUCUUUGCGAAUCUCCAGCACUCUUGGAUCCUACAUCUGUUAAACAAUGGGGGAAAUUACUGGAUAGCAUUAUUACCCUUCUUUCACGGCCAGAACAGGAUAGAGUUGAGGUGGAACCAGAAGUUCUGGAUAUCGGGGAGACUAUGGUUUAUGCUGCCACCUACGUCCCACUUCAGAAUGCUGGGAGGAAAGAGGAGGAUCCUUUAAAGGAAAUAAAGGAUCCGAAGGAAUUCUUGGUUGCUUCAUUGGCAAAUCUUUCUGCUCAUUCCCCCGGACGGUAUCCUCAAAUCAUCAAUGAGAAUCUUGAUCAAGCUAAUCAAACUGCAUUACUUCAACUUUGUGGUACUUAUAAGCUCCCCAUUGUUUAAGAUCUUAUGCAACCAUGAAGUAUGGGCCUUGUCUUGAGGUCACAAUAUCAGUCCUCCUCAGCAUGCAUUUGUGAUCAAAUGGUAUUUUUGCAUUGCGGUUGAUUAGUUUAGACAGUUGUCUUUGAACUUCUCAGGAUCCUCUGCAGUAAUGAAGUAGGCUUCUUUUGCAGUCAUAAUUUUUCACCGAGUCCUGCCCCCCAUGCAUGUUCUCCACUGCAGUUCCACAUACCUGCCCUGCAGUUCAAACGUUAUUCUCCUUGUUUGUUGUCCCUGUUCACCAGAGUUGUAUUCAGCGGGAAUCUGUGAGCAAAUGUUUCGAGUUUUGGGAGCUAAACUUUCAUGUUACAGUUGUCUUUGAUCAACUGAUUACACACCCAUCAUGCAAUUUAUCAGUUGGCUAUGAUAUACAUACUCAAAUGUGAGUUCUACUGUGUGAUUAGCUCAUUAGACUGAAGACUGAGCUUGAAUAAUUUUGCAUGUCUGGCAAAGAUAAAGUACUUCAGUUUUGUGUUAUUCGGUCUUCUCUCAUUGAGCAUUGGGCUUAUAAUUUGUAUUCAGUUAAUCUUUUGCAUUAUCCCCUCCAUUAGGUUUAUCGA
Vitis riparia (riverbank grape) is the source of this 3755-nucleotide RNA transcript. It is a transcript of the gene named exportin-2, with no coding region annotated. The record is from RefSeq and is a predicted model, not a curated record. Lineage: Eukaryota; Viridiplantae; Streptophyta; Magnoliopsida; Vitales; Vitaceae. The transcript is spliced from 3 exons.